UACCCGCGGCCCGAGUGGUGCUCAUUAUUAUUGAGCCUAAAGCGUCCGUAGCUGGCCGGGCGAAUCCCCGGGGAAAUCGGGCGGCCCAACCGUCCGAAGUCCGGGGACACUGCUCGGCUUGAGAUCGGGAGAGGGAGGAGGUACUCUCGGGGUAGGGGUAAAAUCCUGUAAUCCGGGGGGGACCACCAGUGGCGAAGGCGUCCUCCUAGAACGAAUCUGACAGUGAGGGACGAAGCCCUAGGGCGCAAACGGG
Molecule: ribosomal RNA, 253 nt
Filed under: uncultured bacterium
Lineage: Bacteria
Description: partial 16S ribosomal RNA
Rfam family: Archaeal small subunit ribosomal RNA
Source: RNAcentral